Molecule: ribosomal RNA, 406 nt
Filed under: Bathyphantes gracilis
Lineage: Eukaryota; Metazoa; Arthropoda; Arachnida; Araneae; Linyphiidae
Description: partial 16S ribosomal RNA
Source: RNAcentral
AUUUUUAUAAGUAAAAUCUGCUCCAUGAAUUUAAAUAGCCGCAGAAUAACUGUGCUAAGGUAGCAUAAUCAUUAGUCUUUUAAUUUAAGACCAGAAUGAAUGAUUUAACAUUUUAAUUAAUUUUUUAAAUUAAUCAUUUUUAAUUUUAACUAAAAAUUAAAAUGUUUUUAUAAAUAAAAAAGACGAUAAGACCCUAUUGAACUUUACUUUAGUUAAGCUGGGGAAGCUAAUUAAAAAUAAUUUUAAUUAUUUUAAAAAAAUAAAAUUCCAAUAAAAUUGAAUUUAUCAAGUUACCAUAGGGAUAACAGCGUAAUAAUUUUUAAAAGUUCUUAUUAAAAAAAAAGAUUACGACCUCGAUGUUGAAUUAAUUUUCCUAAAAAACGCAACCGUUUUAAAGGAGGUCUGU